GGAGGGGUACCGAAGCGGUCAAACGGGGCAGACUGUAAAUCUGUUGGCUCAGCCUUCGGAGGUUCGAAUCCUCCCCCCUCCACCA
RNAcentral lists this transfer RNA (85 nucleotides) under Chromatiales bacterium. RNAcentral describes it as "tRNA-Tyr". It matches the Rfam family "tRNA". From Rfam's summary of the family: Transfer RNA (tRNA) molecules are approximately 80 nucleotides in length. The record is from RNAcentral. Lineage: Bacteria; Pseudomonadati; Pseudomonadota; Gammaproteobacteria; Chromatiales.